UAAAAGAAGGACAAACACUCAGUGAAAGAUUUAAGAUGUGACCUCAGACACUUGCUUCACUUCUAAGGUGAAAUCUGACUACAAGACAAUAGAACAACUUAAAUCUUUAGAGUAGCAAGUCUCCCUAAAGGGACGUAUAGGUAAUCUUUGACUUACGACCACAACUGAGCCCAAAAUUUCCGUUGUUACCGUGUUUCGCAGAAAAUAAGACCAGGUUGUUGUUUUUUUGCCUCCAAACGAGGCACCAGGUCUUAUUUUCAGGGUAGGCCUUACCUCACCUCCAGCACUGACAGCCCCACCCAGCAGGUCUACUUCUUCUGGGGCUGAGGUUCUAUAGCUGCAUUCAGGCCUGCAUUUUGCAGUCAGGGCUUUCCAGAAGACCUAAGCAGCCAAGUACCGAGCUAUGGAUUCAAUUCAUAGCUUGGUGCUCGGCUGCUGAGGUCUUGCAGAACCGAGCUACGGAUUGAAUCCGUAGCUCAGUUCUUGGCUGCACAGGCCUUCCGGAAAGCCCUGUGACUGAGAAAUGCAGGCCUGGCUGCAGAAGAGGCCUCAGAAAAAGAAAUGGGCUGGCAAGGAAAGGCCUGGCUGCAAGGAAAUUUGAAUUCUCAACACAUUUCAUUUCAGUUCAAAGUAUUCAAAGAUAGAAAACAAAUGAAGGAAUAAACCUCAGGCGGACUUACGGAAAUGCCAUUAUUCACUAUAGAUGAAGAUUUUCAAUAAGAAUCUUACCCUCAAAUAAUGGUAGAUAUAGUUUUUCUCUCAAAAAAGCCAUGAAUUAAUUAACAUAAGGUGGUUUUUUUUUCAUUUUGUAUGGUAGAACAGUGCUAAAUAUUGGCAAUAAAAGAA
Long non-coding RNA from Crotalus tigris (Tiger rattlesnake), 846 nucleotides. RefSeq lists it as uncharacterized. The transcript has 3 exons. The record is from RefSeq and is a predicted model, not a curated record. NCBI's taxonomy places the organism in Eukaryota, Metazoa, Chordata, Lepidosauria, Squamata, Viperidae.